AUCACAGCCAUAUCACCCUGCAGCCCAAGACUGGUUGCCCACUGAAGCUAAGCAGGGUUGAGUCUGGUCAGUACCUGGAUGGGAGACCUCCUGGGAAAACUAGGUUGCUGCUGGAA
This 116-nucleotide ribosomal RNA is filed under the name Sinocyclocheilus rhinocerous. Lineage: Eukaryota; Metazoa; Chordata; Actinopteri; Cypriniformes; Cyprinidae. The record is from RNAcentral.